Small nucleolar RNA from Nicotiana attenuata, 148 nucleotides. It matches the Rfam family "small nucleolar RNA snoR135". NCBI's taxonomy places the organism in Eukaryota, Viridiplantae, Streptophyta, Magnoliopsida, Solanales, Solanaceae. The record is from Rfam.
AUAGCAGAGAUUGUGUGUAUCGGCAUUGUGCUGUGAUUGAUGUACUUUUGUCGAAAGAGUUCUCUGCAAAAUUGAUUUUUGAGGAAAAUGGGCAUUUGUGUUUCAUCAAUUUCACUUGGAAAUUUCAACAAUCAUUUUCCCCACAUUU